UGAUUUCUCGAUAAAAUAUAUACCACUCUGAAAAUCUAAAAUUUUCAUUUAUCAGAUGAGAAGACCUGCAAAUUUCAGUGUCAGAUAUCUUCACAUUCCUUUCAUGCAAUCUUCCAUAUGUGUCCCCUCUUAUCUAAAAUUAAAAAUCUAAAAAUUCUAUUUAUCAUAUCAGAAGACCUGCAAAUUCCUUUCAUGCAAUCUUCCAUGAGUCUUCUAUGGAAGAUUUCUCCCUGUAUCUUCCAUGCAACAUUCCAUCUGUCCAACAUAUUGUAUCCAUGUUUCUCUAUAAAUAUCAUCAAUCUACUCAUCUAUCAUCAACAAAUCAACCAUCAUCUCUCUUGACACAAAGAUGACUAACUCAGGGUGAACUUGAAGAAGGAUGUGCUUAUGUUUUUGAAAAAUUUAUGGUUGCUUAAAACCAUUGACAAGAGAAAAAAGAAUCUUCCCUAUUUUUUGAACAUAUUGGAUUAGCAUGAAAUCAAUGAAAAGAGAGUCAUGCAUACUUUCCAAGAUGGAAACCUAUGAGUUUGAGUUUCAUAGUGCAAGUGUUUUGUUUGUCAUUUUUUAGCUUCUUUUGAUGAACAUGAAAUAUAUAAGUGGUUUGUAAAAAAUUGAAUUGAGAAUAUUUUUAUGAACAAGAAGA
Molecule: long non-coding RNA, 643 nt
Organism: Trifolium pratense (red clover)
Lineage: Eukaryota; Viridiplantae; Streptophyta; Magnoliopsida; Fabales; Fabaceae
Exons: 3
Source: RefSeq, a predicted model, not a curated record